AGGGCACCACCAGGAGUGGAGCCUGCGGCUUAAUUUGACUCAACACGGGAAAACUCACCCGGCCCGGACACUGGAAGGAUUGACAGAUUGAGAGCUCUUUCUUGAUUCAGUGGGUGGUGGUGCAUGGCCGUUCUUAGUUGGUGGAGUGAUUUGUCUGGUUAAUUCCGAUAACGAACGAGACUCUAGCCUACUAAAUAGAUCGUCGGCUUACAAACGCCGGCGAGACUUCUUAGAGGGACAGGCGGUGAUUCAACCGCACGAAACAGAGCAAUAACAGGUCUGUGAUGCCCUUAGAUGUCCGGGGCCGCACGCGCGCUACACUGAAGUGAUCAGCGUGCUUUUUCAACCUACUCUGUCAAGAGUGGGGAACCCAAUGAACCUUCUUCGUGAUUGGGAUAGGGGAUUGUAAUUGUUCCCCUUGAACGAGGAAUUCCCAGUAAGCGCGAGUCAUARGCUCGCGUUGAUUACGUCCCUGCCCUUUGUACACACCGCCCGUCGCUACUACCGAUUGAAUGUKUU
This 519-nucleotide ribosomal RNA is filed under the name uncultured eukaryote. Its description in RNAcentral is "SSU rRNA". It matches the Rfam family "Eukaryotic small subunit ribosomal RNA", at positions 1172 to 1719 of the family's 1831-position model. The record is from RNAcentral.